UUUACUUGCACUUGUAUUUUGAUUAUGUGAUCUAACUCUCAUGCUUUGUGUUAUGUGCUGGACCGUUGGGGGUUCAGAUUCUCAGGUUGAGGAUCCCGAUCAGAGUUAGAGGGCUUGCUCGUGCUCGUGGUAGUGCGCUUUUUGGUGAGGAGUUUAGCGUAGACUACUCCUUAGAUAUAUUUUAUAUAUGUUUUUGAAUGGGUUGUAUAGAAUUGCUCUGAUUAGGUAUUUA
RNAcentral lists this long non-coding RNA (232 nucleotides) under Trifolium pratense (red clover). RNAcentral describes it as "long non-coding RNA (TPRA_LNC006532)". Lineage: Eukaryota; Viridiplantae; Streptophyta; Magnoliopsida; Fabales; Fabaceae. The record is from RNAcentral.